Long non-coding RNA from Choloepus didactylus (southern two-toed sloth), 2615 nucleotides. RefSeq lists it as uncharacterized. The record is from RefSeq and is a predicted model, not a curated record. The transcript has 3 exons. Lineage: Eukaryota; Metazoa; Chordata; Mammalia; Pilosa; Megalonychidae.
AGCUUCAGACGGCUGAACAGCCAGGGCCAGGCCAGACCCAGGGCCUCCCCAGAGCCUGUGGGUGGGGCCUGUGUUUCUGGGUGUGCUCCUCAUUUCCUCUUACAGCCUGUCUCCACAAGCCAAGCGGCUGUGAAACAACGGCUUACAGUGACUCAGCUUUAAAAAUAGGACAUUUACAGUGAAAAUUACAGGAAAUUCCCAGUCUCCUGCCUGGGCUUAUUUUAGGUGUGCAGCUUACAAGAGUGAAGUCCCAGCCACCCUCCUCCAGCCUCCACUCUCUGCAGCAUCCUUGGGUGUCUGAUUUGGGGCAGAUCUCUUCUGCUCUGUGACCGGAAACCUCCCUGGGGGCAGUCUGAGGGGAACACAGAAUGGAGGAGUCCGUGCCCAGCCUUGUUCAGACGCUUCCAUGGGAGAAGGACAGCUAAAAUUUGUCUCCCACUUCCCAUGGGCCAAGCACUGUGAGUCUUAACCUGUGCUCGCUCACUGACUUUCAUCUACUCCCAGGAAGAAGGUACAUUUAUUAUUUCUGUUUUGUAGUUGGGGAAACUAGUAUUCAGACCCAGGUCUGACUCACUCUGGAUUUCAAGAGUGUAACCACAGACUCAGCUUCCCCUGAAAACAGAAUAAGAAGACAAAAGGAUCGCUCUUUUUCUGGAGAGAAAGACAGGGGAGGGUGCCAGUACCCUGGGCUUUUGAUUAUAUUUCCCUUUCCUUCCCCAGGGACACAUUUCUUGGCAGGAGGCCUUUUCUGGAAAGCUGAGCUUGAGCUUUCAGGGGUUCAGUUGCCCCUGCUGUACCUGGAUUUGCUGGAGAAGCUGAGAAAGCUGCCUGCACCCCAGUAGGAGGCUCUGCAAUGGGGGACACAGGCCACUUCAGGAUUAGGACCUAAAUGUUGUUCAGAUAUUUGCCCAGCAACUCCCAGUGUGCUUGGGAACUAGCGGCAGGAGCAGCCCUCCCUGAGUCAUUGAAUGCCGAUGCAUUAAUCAGAAAUGUGGAUGCAAUAUUUUUUUAAUGGCUCCCAACUUUUACUCCCCAUAAUUAGCAAAGGCCUCUCUCACCAAGGGUCCUUGUCGCAAGGAGAGGGCACUGCUUCUGGGCUCCUGGGUAAAGUAGCACGUUCCACAUUCUUGCGAUGAAGCUGGUGCACCCAUGCUUUUCAUCAAGCACCUGGAGCCGUCAAGGCUUUUCUGAACCACAGAACUUUGUUUCCAGCUGUCUAUGAGAUUUCUCCUCCUAGAUGCCCUCCAAAGCUCCUGAAUUCAUCAAGUUCAAAACAGUACACCCCAAACUGGCUUAUCUCAUAUUCUCUUUUAUGGUCAAUGACCUCACCUUCUACUAGUCUCUCUAGUUAGAAACCACUGAAUCAUCCUUAAUUCCUCUGCUUCUCUUCUCCUCCCCAUCCCGUGUCUAAUUGAUUCUCCCUCCUGGCAUCUUUUGCCUUCAGUCAUUUCUCCCCUCACUGCCUGGAGUACAAAGCAGAUGCUGUGUCCCGACCCCUCCCCUGACCUGCCUUUUUUUGACCCAGGAGUGGAUGCAUGACCCAAGCUGAGCUAAUCCGAGGCCUUUUGCAGGAUAUUUCAAACUGGAGGAAAUUUGAUGCUGCUUUCCUCUUUGGUGUCUAGCUGGAAGGCUGGGAGUCCAGAGAGGCCUGUGGCCGUGUGCCCUGGUGCCCGGAUAAAGCCUGUCUUCAGCAGGACAGAAGGAAACCAGACUGCAGAGAGAGGCCACGGUGAAGGACAGACAGACAUGUCCUAAUCCAGGCAUCCCCGAGCCCAGCUGCCAACUCCAAUCCAUCCUCCACAGGACCACCAGGUGAAUCACUUUCCUGCUCUUCAGGAAUGUCUAGGCGUGGUCUCCAAAGACGGCUGCCAUCAGUUCCUUCUCUCAUUGGAAGAACAUGCUGCUCCACUGAUCAAGAGGUGGGGUCUGUUUCUCCUUCUCUUGAAUCUGAGCUGGUCUUCUGACUCCUUACUACUUGUUUAGACUGAUGGAAAGCAGCAGAAAGGAUGCUGUGGCAGUUCUGGGCCUAACUUUUAAAAGGCUUGUCAGCUUCUGCUCUCACUCUCGGAGGCCGUGUAAGAAGUAUGACUACCCUGAGGCCACCAUGCUGUGAGGAAGCCCAAGCUAGCUGCAUGGAGACAGGCCACGUGGAGGGUUGCUUAAGUGACAGAUAUGUGAGUGUCUCCUUCUUCAACCUUCUGGCCCACCCAGCUAUCAACUGAAUGCAGAUGAGUGAGUGAUCCCACCUGACACCCAGUGGAGCAGAAGAGCUGCCCAAGCCUCACCCUGGUCAAGUUCCUGACCAGAAAGUUGAGAGACAUAAUAAAACCUUCUUGUUUGAAGUCACUAAGUUUUGGAGAGAUUUGUCAGGCAGCAUUAGGUAACUGAAACAUCUUUCCACUAGAAAGAUACUUUAUGAUCUUUGCCUAGUAGUACAUGGCACAUAUACGGACUCAGUCAAUAUUUAUUAAAUGUGUGAAUUUGGGGAAAAUGGAGAUGUCCAUUGACCAGAAGUCUUAAUAAAGCAAAAAUGAAGAUGUUUGACAGUAUGAAUGUUAGAAAUCAAGGAACUGAAGUUCAAAAGUUGGAUGUUAGAGUUUUUAGUUUAAAACAUU